This 858-nucleotide small RNA is filed under the name Histoplasma capsulatum. Its description in RNAcentral is "hypothetical RNA". RNAcentral also lists the same sequence under 1 other name. The record is from RNAcentral. Lineage: Eukaryota; Fungi; Ascomycota; Eurotiomycetes; Onygenales; Ajellomycetaceae.
GCUCGACGAAUUUAGAUGUAAUUCCAAUAUACAAAUUCACCAAAAGUGGACCGAAGUGUUUCUGCACCUUAUGCUUCCUGGAGACGAUUGCUGAUGUCCAUCUCCCUUUUCUCUCUGUAGUGUGGCCCGUCGUGCACAUUUUAUUGUAUGACAUGGCAGCAUGUGAAUAAGUAAAUGACGUAAAAUCCUAUAGGGCUGUAAAGGGGAAUGUAGAGUGCUUGAGUGGGGUGUAAUCCUGCAUAUAGCGCAGGUAGAUUAUGAAACACAUACGGGUAUAUUUAUAAGAACAUUAUGGCUGUUGAGAGAGGGAAAGGGGGGAUUUUCGGGAAACAUAACGUAGGAAGCGCGAAGGAAAGCAGUAAGGAAAACAGUAUAGAGCUUUCAUCUCAAGGUUAACAUUUGGGGUAUAACGGCAGCAACUGUUAACCAUAAUCGGCGUGGCUGCCAUAGGAAGGAAGUUUAUAUAGUAUAAUGAGCUCAUCAGAGCAGAACUAGAUGGAGGAGCUAUGCAAUUGGACCGCAGAAGUAGUCGAAUGACACAUGCAUCCACAUACAAAAGUGGCUCGAGCAUCUGCGCCGUACUGUAGGAGGCAAGGACUAUAGUAGAAACUGCGAAUGAACUGCAUUUUCGUUACGAACAGAGACAAAAGGGGCUCAUUCGGUAUGAAUUUAGGUUCAUUCCAAGGUUAGCUGAUUAAGAAGCCAACGAAUAGUGGCAGAGCGGAUUUAAGCAAGACUGACUUGAUAUCUGGGGCUCCAGCGGAUGGUAUUAGAGAGGAAAUAUAUAUAGCAAACAAGGAACAAAGUGAAGUUGAUCAAUAAGAGAAAUGAGGAGGUGUUUGAAGGAAACGUCAAGCU